This 253-nucleotide ribosomal RNA is filed under the name uncultured bacterium. RNAcentral describes it as "partial 16S ribosomal RNA". It matches the Rfam family "Bacterial small subunit ribosomal RNA", at positions 524 to 776 of the family's 1533-position model. The record is from RNAcentral.
UACAGAGGGGGCAAGCGUUGUUCGGAAUUACUGGGCGUAAAGGGCGCGUAGGCGGCCUGUUAAGUCGAACGUGAAAUCCCCGGGCUCAACCCGGGAACUGCGUCCGAUACUGGCUGGCUUGAAUUCGGGAGAGGGAUGCGGAAUUCCAGGUGUAGCGGUGAAAUGCGUAGAUAUCUGGAGGAACACCGGUGGCGAAGGCGGCAUCCUGGACCGGUAUUGACGCUGAGGCGCGAAAGCCAGGGGAGCAAACGGG